AAAAAAAUCCCGCCAAAACUUUUUUUCGUAACAAAUUUUUUCUCAGCAAUAAAAAAUGCUUUUAAAAAUCCUUGUAAAUUUUUUUUCGUGGGAAAUAGAUUUACAAAGGAUUUUAAUAGAGUUUUAAGAUAUUUACAAUGGAUUUUAAAAGGGUUUUGAAAGAUUUACAAAGGUUUUUUAAAGAUUUUUAAAGGGUUUAAAAUUGUUUUAAAAUAUUUACAAGGGAUUUUAAAGGGCUUUAAAAGAUUUACAAAUAUUUUUAAAGGGUUUAAAGUAUUUUAAAAGAUUUACAAAAGAUUUUACAAG
Molecule: small RNA, 306 nt
Filed under: Arabidopsis thaliana (thale cress)
Lineage: Eukaryota; Viridiplantae; Streptophyta; Magnoliopsida; Brassicales; Brassicaceae
Description: ATSL211720
Source: RNAcentral